CAAAACUAUGAGCGGCAGCACGGGCUGCAGUCCAUGCUGGUUUCAGGUAGGUGAGUCAGGUGUGCCCGUUCUUGUUCCUCUGGGCACAAAUGGGUUGAUGUUUGCGACACACCAAGAAGGGCUGUUGUCCGCUGGGGCCGCCUCCAUUGGCAGGCCUAGGGCCCGAAGGAAAGCCGGUGCUUCCGAUUUGUGCGUUAGGAGGUGCAUUUCGCCUGCUUUCUCUGCCAUCAGUCGGUUCUGCCCCCAUUUAUACGUGAUGGUGUGCUCUUGAAGCUGCUGGGUAAUUUGUCUGAGAGACCUUCUCCAUGUCAGAGUGUGCCUGGAAAUGUCUCUAUAAAAAGUUAGGUGCGCCCCUCCCAUGAGAGCCCCCCGGUCAGAGUCCCGAAUAAAUUUGACAAGUACAUCCCCAGGAGCCCCCUGGAGAGCCCUAGGUGCUUUGGGGAGCUGAAAACAAGAGUCCACACCUAUUUGCUUCACUUGUUUGGGUAGUAGCAGUGUGGCUAUCAUCCUCCGGCAGUAAUGGGGUAACUCAGUCAGUGACCGAUUCAGGCACCCCCCGGAUUCAGGCGCCUUUGCCUUAUCCUCCAUAGUAGCUAUUUGUGUAGUCAGGGUGCUGCAUUGCUUUUGCAGUGAUGCCAGGGCUGCAUCUGUGGCAGUCUGGGCUACUCCAACAUUUUUAAGGUCCUCUUCCACCAUCUUCACCCUUCCUGUCAGCGUGGAGAUUUCCUCCCUAAUCAGCGCCAUGUCAACAUGGAACAUAGCGAAGGCCUUUAUGUCGGCCUUCGUGGCUGGAGCGGAGUCACCCAGCUCCAUGUGUGUCGUGGGCUUCGCUGGUACCUUUGGUGGAGGUGAAUGGGUGACCGUCUGGCUCUCGUCGUCUGACGAAGGCGAGGUAUAGG
Molecule: non-coding RNA, 899 nt
Organism: Pelobates cultripes (western spadefoot toad)
Lineage: Eukaryota; Metazoa; Chordata; Amphibia; Anura; Pelobatidae
Source: the annotation of a GenBank genome assembly